Long non-coding RNA from Vulpes vulpes (red fox), 1308 nucleotides. The record is from Ensembl. NCBI's taxonomy places the organism in Eukaryota, Metazoa, Chordata, Mammalia, Carnivora, Canidae.
AUAUAAAGUACAUAGGGCCUAAAUGUACUGAUUAGAAGAUCUAAAUGUCACCAGGAAUGACCCACGGAGUGAAUAAUUUGUUUCCCUAGGAACAUAUGGAAUCCACUGACUUCAGGAAAUAUUUUCAGAGUGCACACAUAUUUCUUCAAGACGUUAACAUCCCAGGGGAGGAGGAGGAAUAAAAACAUGACAGGGAGUAAUUUAAAAUGGCAGGUCUGCUGAGGGUACAGGCAACUUUCCAGGGCAGCUGUCUUCCAUGUGGGAGCUCAGAACCUCAGGCUAAUUCAAUCAUGUGGCAUGUCCAUAACAAGUUCUUCUGGGAUUGCUGCGGCAGUGAAGAAAAUCUGCACGGUCCUAUAGUGAGAUUUCAGAUACAUUCUCUAUUAAAGAACUGUCUUGGGAGCUACAUCAGAUUCCUUGAAUGGAAGCAGUGUGUUCUCCAGCUACCCUAACUGUCCAAGCUGAGGUCCAGAAGAUCAAAGAUGAAACAUCAAGCAGAGCCCUUCUUGGGUACCUGAGCUUCAGAUUAUAAGCAAAGUGAAGUGGUUGUUUUAUGUCACUAUGUAGUUUUGGGGGUAGUUUGUCAAUGUAAGAUUCCUGUCACAUAUGCCAUUCAUUUGAUGUCAUACUCUAAAAUAUUGGAGAUAAACAAAUUCAGGGGAACAGAUGAGAUGCCUGAGGGUAAAGUUUAGAGAAUACAAAAGCCAAGUACUGAGGUUUAGAGAUACCAGUAUUAAUGGUCAAGGGUAAAAUAUCCCAGAUGUUGAGAGGGCAACAAAAUGGUCAGAGAAAUCAGAAUUAAACUUGGAGACACAUUGCCACUGAAGGGCAAGAUAUUAAAAGGAAUAGUUAGGAACAAUGUUUAUGCAUCAGAAAGAGCACAGUCCAAUGAAGACAAUUCAUUUUGUUGAAAUUAAAAUUGGUUUUGUAUAGCGAAGUUUUAUUAUAGUAAAUAGUGAAACUAAAUUGAAGCAAGAAUGAAAUUUGAUUUGGGUAUAUGUUUAACAGUAUAAUGGUAUGUUAGACUAGUAACAACUAUAUGUGAGCCCUCUUAAUAACAAAAGAAACAAAAAUCUAAGGUAUAUUUUAUUAAUAGAAAUUUAUUUUAUAAAUGAUAAAAUUUGUAAAUGAAACGAAUUUAUUUAUUAUAAAAUAUAUGUAUAACUUUACAUAUACAUAUAUAUGUUUUAUAUAUAUGUAUAAAUUUAUCUGAUAAAUUUAAAUUUAUAGAACUUAUAAAGAAAACAUACAAGAAGAAUAAGACUAUUUUAAAGAAAAUAAAAAUUUGAAACUUGGACGUAUGGUUCA